RNAcentral lists this ribosomal RNA (253 nucleotides) under uncultured bacterium. RNAcentral describes it as "partial 16S ribosomal RNA". It matches the Rfam family "Bacterial small subunit ribosomal RNA", at positions 524 to 776 of the family's 1533-position model. The record is from RNAcentral.
GACAGAGGGGGCAAGCGUUGCUCGGAAUCACUGGGCGUAAAGGGCGCGUAGGCGGGAUGGCAAGUCGGUCGUGAAAUCUCUCGGCUCAACCGAGAAACGUCGGCCGAUACUGCCGUUCUUGAGGGAUGCAGAGGAGACUGGAAUUCCCGGUGUAGCGGUGAAAUGUGUAGAGAUCGGGAGGAACACCGGUGGCGAAGGCGGCCAACUGGACGAGUACUGACGCUGAGACACGAAAGCGUGGGGAGCAAACAGG